CGUCGGGUAGCUCAGUGGUUUAAAGCAGUCGCCCGGCAAGCGAAAGACCCCCCGGGUUCGAUUCCCGGUCUAGCGA
Molecule: non-coding RNA, 76 nt
Organism: Harpegnathos saltator (Jerdon's jumping ant)
Lineage: Eukaryota; Metazoa; Arthropoda; Insecta; Hymenoptera; Formicidae
Source: Rfam